UAGGAGAGAAGACACCAUAAGCAGAAAAGUAUGACAAGCCAGCGGGGGUUCUGGGUGUUUUUCUGGAAUGGAUUGUGGAAUGAGAAUGCAUUGCGGUCCGGUCAAUUCCAGCUGCGAGGCUGCUUCCAUGUCUUGUCCUCGUCCUCCACCUCUCCUUCCUCCUCACCUUCCCUCCUCUUCCGCUCUCCUCUGGUAUAAAUCUUCCCUCCCUCUCUCUAACUCUGCCCCUCGCGCCGCCUCUCCGCCACCGGAGAUCUCCAUCCCCCGGGGAGAGAUAGAGGGAGACAAGAGAGAGAGAGAGAGAGAGAGAGAGAGAGAGAGAGANNN
Molecule: long non-coding RNA, 327 nt
Filed under: Spirodela polyrhiza (greater duckweed)
Lineage: Eukaryota; Viridiplantae; Streptophyta; Magnoliopsida; Alismatales; Araceae
Description: long non-coding RNA (SPOL_LNC002050)
Source: RNAcentral